GCCCGUGUAACUCAGGGGUAGAGUACCUCCUUGGUAAGGAGGAAGUCGCGAGUUCAAAUCUCGCCACGGGCU
RNAcentral lists this transfer RNA (72 nucleotides) under Oscillatoriales cyanobacterium. RNAcentral's name for it is "tRNA-Thr". It matches the Rfam family "tRNA". From Rfam's summary of the family: Transfer RNA (tRNA) molecules are approximately 80 nucleotides in length. Their secondary structure includes four short double-helical elements and three loops (D, anti-codon, and T loops). Lineage: Bacteria; Bacillati; Cyanobacteriota; Cyanophyceae; Oscillatoriales. RNAcentral also lists the same sequence under 48 other names. The record is from RNAcentral.